Molecule: ribosomal RNA, 497 nt
Filed under: uncultured bacterium
Lineage: Bacteria
Description: partial 16S ribosomal RNA
Rfam family: Bacterial small subunit ribosomal RNA
Source: RNAcentral
GAUGAACGCUGGCGGCGUGCCUAAUACAUGCCAGUCGAGCGAACAGACGAGGAGCUUGCUCCUCUGACGUUAGCGGCGGACGGGUGAGUAACACGUGGAUAACCUACCUAUAAGACUGGGAUAACUUCGGGAAACCGGAGCUAAUACCGGAUAAUAUAUUGAACCGCAUGGUUCAAUAGUGAAAGACGGUUUUGCUGUCACUUAUAGAUGGAUCCGCGCCGCAUUAGCUAGUUGGUAAGGUAACGGCUUACCAAGGCGACGAUGCGUAGCCGACCUGAGAGGGUGAUCGGCCACACUGGAACUGAGCCACGGUCCAGACUCCUACGGGAGGCAGCAGUAGGGAAUCUUCCGCAAUGGGCGAAAGCCUGACGGAGCAACGCCGCGUGAGUGAUGAAGGUCUUCGGAUCGUAAAACUCUGUUAUUAGGGAAGAACAAAUGUGUAAGUAACUAUGCACGUCUUGACGGUACCUAAUCAGAAAGCCACGGCUAACUACGUG